AAUACCUUUAUUAAAAUAGAGGAAAUAACACCUAUUAGGAAGUGACCCUGAACUCACACAUUUUAUUAUGGGUGGGAGAAGGCAUUUUCCUUUCAGCAUACUGUAAACGCUCUUAUUUCUUUCGUGGUAUUUAACAGUAGGAAUGGGUGCAAUCUAUUUUUAUAGCAUACAGUUUUGUUGUAGACUCAUAGAGUGCCGAGCAAUGACUUAGCAGGUUGCUUUUUUUUUUUUUUUUUUUUUUAGCCAAAUCAUAAAAACAAACUUUAAAAAAACUAAAUCCACUGGCAACUCUCCAGCAACAGUGUGUGAGGUUGUUCCUGUAGAGUUAUAAAGAAGAAGGAGAAGGAAAAUCAUCACUCAGACAAAUCUGAGCUCAACGACCUUCUUCCGAGCUUCUUCUGAGAAAUGACAUUCUUCUCUAUCGAGCAGGAACAAAGGCACUUGGGAGGAGGGAGCGAAACCUCACUCAUGCUCUUCUGAAACGUGUCCUUGCCACUGACUGUGUGCAUGCCGAACUGUGGGUGCAAUCAUGCAUAUCAAGCACCCACAACCAUACAAAACCACUUCAAAAGCGUAGUCAGUGCCCGCUCCUCCAUCUCCAAAUGAAAAGCACACUGGCUGAUUCAAGACGUGUGUUUCUGCUUUGGGCUUAAACAAGAGAGCAUUAUUUCAGAACGAUCCCAAAAAUAUGUUCCUAAUAUACAGAGAUGAAAGAGUAUUUCACAUACAAGAGGAAACAUUAAAAUGUCCAUCCAUUUUACUUCACGUUGUUAAACACUCGGGCGCUGAUUCAGGAAAGCAUUUCAGCACGAACCUAAGUGCUAAUGCCUGAACUGGAAGAAUUAGACCAUCCAGGAAAAGAAGAUACAACUUGCAAACACCAGUUAGUGUCUGUACAUGUGCGUGUAUGUGCAUGUGUGUGUAUAUAUUCACCAAAAAAGCAAAAUGUGGAAAUCAGUGAUAGCUAAAAAGACCAAGAGAUGAAGAAAACACCAAAUUAGGCAUCAUUUUCACAACAUAGUUUUAAUCAGAAAAGGAAGCCUAAUUUUUGGCUGACUGUGAAAUGCUAAAUAAAAAGAAAGUAAUUCUGCUCUGCAUUCAACCCAGUAAGACACCUCUGUGAAAGAGGAACAGCGUUCAGUGCUGUGAAACCCACCACUAGAAAACAUUGGUGAAUUCAGUAGUGUUUGUGAAUCAGAAAAAUUGCUCAUGGCUUUGGAGGUACAAUUGUUUACUGAAGAGAGGGGGAUAAAAAGCUUUGUGAUCUACUUGUGUCUAUCCCAGCAGGGCAGUGAGGUUUAGCACAAUUCCCCCCACUGCAGCUGGCACCUGUGCAAGCGUCAGCUGCAGCCCCACGCAGGUUCAGCACACAGCGUGAUGGCCAUGCACAGCCCCGGGGGACACAGACAUCUACAAGGCUGACUUCAAUUUAACACCUUCCAUUUCAAACGAGGGGUGUGUUGAACAGAAGCCAACAACAUCUGGAUUGCAUGAUACUGACAUCCAUGUAGGAAGCUUCCAGACUCCGGGAGAGCUAAAAAUACACACAUGGAGCCAGGUAUCCACGUGUCGUGUUUACCCUCUCGAACAGCAAGCCAUGCAAGAGCAACUGGAGAUGGAAAGAGAAACCUUACACAUGUAUUUCCAACUAAUGAAAGAAGCUACACAGCAUUUUGCUUAUUCUAGAGCUUUUCUGAAUUCAUUGAAACACCUGAUGACCUCACAAGGGGUGAAGAAAACAGUCAGUACUUCACAGCGCUGAGCCACAUGUUCAGAGUGCAUAUGCGAGAGCCAGCCAGGAGCUCCAGCCAGAAAUGCUGGCUGCAUCUUGUUAGCCGCAGCAAGAGCUUGCAUAUUAGACCUUAAGUGCUGAGCCUAUUGUGAGCCUGGAGAAGUUACAGUAUUUAUGGAAAUCAGCCUGGAAACCUUCCCUGCAUUCACCUUCAAGCCCUACCAAGUUAGAUUAUGCAAGUCCUUUUAGAUACUUUGAAUAAUUAUGGACAAUUAAGGGAUAUGAACCAAAUCUGAAACCUUUGUUUAUUCCUUUCAUCAAUAAAAUACUCAACAUGGCUCAGAUGGAAAACAACAGGGGGGAAUCUGCUUCUUACGACAGCCUUGUUUAUUAGUACCCCUUGGCAAUGGAUUUUUUAAUAAGCUUGAGCCUAUCAGCCUUUGCAAGUUGCAGCAGAAAAGGGUUAAAUAUCCCUGAAAGUGACCUUAUGGGAGAAAACCAAAUUUUUCAAGACAUUAUUUGUGGAGGCUUUGAAGUAGGCUUGAAAAACUGGAUUCCUUUUUCGUAUUCAGCAUGUACAAUGUGCAGUAUCUGUAAGUAGUAAAGGAGCAGUUCAUGAAUUCAAGAAUCUAUGGUCAAGCUUGUCCUUCAGUUAUGUAAUAUUAAUAACAUAAUAUAAUAGUAAUAUUGAAAACUAUAACUAUUGUUUAUAAUGUUAUUAAUGUUGUUAUUACUAUUAUGAUUGUGAAGUUAAUCCAUAAUUUGCUGUUGUUGAGGAAAGACAAGAUCUUUUCUUUUAGUCAACCAUGAAAUAUUAAAAUAUUGUAGUUCCAAGAAGAACCUACUACCUGAGAGCAGAAAGGUCCACUAGGAAUCCUAGUAAGAUGAUUAUAUCCAAUCCAGAAAACAGAAGGAUAAUGUGAAUGGUAAGAAAGUUAUGAACUGCAGAAAUAAAUGUCAGCCAUAUACGAGUCCUGUUUUCAGAAAUGUUUUGAGACUUAGCCCACUGAUGUUUGUAAAGCAUUUGUGUGAUCCUUGAGUAUCAGAGUUAAAGGAAUGCAAAAUAUUGCAGUUAGAUGUCAGAUAUGGCUGAAAUGCAGAACAAACAAAAGACAAAAGAUUUGCCCUAUACUUGCCCCUCAAUAAGCAGUCAUCUAUUUGUGGAAUAUUUAUAUUAUUCUUAUUAAUAGACAUGUGGAAGCUUUCUUCUAGAGUGGUUAUUUGCAAACCAUCUACAGCCUAUGAUUUGUAAUGCUUAGAAAAGCACCAGAGAGCAAAAUUGCAAUACAUUGAAUUCAUGGCUUUUGAUAAAAUUUUUCUAGCUAUGCAGCACAAGGUCUUCAAGUACAUACAGUAUCUCAGAUGCAUCCUCUUAAAAAAUAGCAGUAUAUUAUAAACAAAUGCAGCUGUGUUUGGAGCCCCUUCUGAGCUGCAUAUGAAGUCUAUAAAGCAACCAUCUUUCACUUCUUGAAAAUUACAAUGCUAAUUAAAAACUGCCUGGUUGAUUCCUGGUUGUAUUAAUAAAUGAGGAAGACUUUAUUCCACUGCAAUGGUUUUCUGUGAGAUGGCAUAUAUGUUCUUGCACAACAGGAUCCAGAUAGAAGACUCUGAAGUUAUUGUCUGUCUUUCCAAUGCUUCUUUGUUGUUACUUCCAAGAUUUUCUUUCCAGUUCAGGACCUUGCAACUUCUAAAACUUUUCAGCAGCAUUUUAAAGAUAAACAGAUUGAUUCCAGAUUGUCUGCCAGUCAUGCUAUAUCCUGUGUUAAAACUGAUGAUGUAUGGAUGAGAGGAGAUUCAGGUAGGACCUAAAGCACAUAUGGUCAACACACAUUGUAUUCAAAGGAAAAAAGAAUUCAAAAUUCAGAGAAACACUUUUGCCUUUUGAAUCUUUUGGCUUAAACUCCACACUCUCUCUCCUUGAACAAUAUCAGAUAAUUCUUUUUACCUGUGGCUUGCUAUCUUUGCAAACACUGAAGAAUAAAAAUCAUUUUAAGAAAUGACUGAACAUGGGAACCGGUGCUCAGUGGUAUUAUUGUUGCAAGUAUUUACUAGGUGUCUUAUCGCUCAGUCCUAACCAGACAGAUCCAAUCCUCAGAACAUUACCUGCCACCAUCAGCACUGCCUGUUGGAUGUGAGAGGUCACGGUUUUGCCAGAGCAUCUGAUCUUGAGACCUCAUUGCUGGAAACAGCCAUCAUAUGCCUUCACCAUGAGCGCUUGCUGAUGUCCGUUCAGUUUGCAGCAUGCCCAGCUCCAUCAUGUAAACCUUAUGAUUGCUUUUCAUUAACUGGUGUAUAUUUUUAUAUGACUGCUGGUAUACUAGUUAUAAGGUAUUCUGAUUUUUUUAAAACAGUAUUUUAUUCAAAGUAACAGUAUUUGAAAGAAUGAGUUAUGAAUAACUCUUCUGAUUUUGAGCACUCCAACAGACACACUAAGUAGUGGUAGUAAUAUGCUUACUCUUCUUUCACAGAUAUAUAGGAAUAAGGAAAUAUGAUGGUUAGGAAAUCUAAUUUUUUGCACAAAAAGCAGCAGUGGAGUGACUAUUUUCCCCUAUUAAAGUACCGAGACAUCUUAAGCCUGGUAACUGGGGCCACAAUCAUACGUUUUUUUGAAGUAAAAAUCAUCCACUGUGACCAUCUGAACUCAUCUUUGAGUCUAAACCAUAACCACACAUAUGUAAACCACCAUUGGGCUGACGGUGAAGGUAACAAAUAUUAUGACUAUAAUGUCUGCAAUAAUUGAUAUUUAGGGGGGAUAAAGAAAAACUUUGUUUCUAAGCAAGAGUUCACAAAGUUCACUCCAGAAAACCUGUAUUACACUAAACUGCUUCAUCACAUGGAAAAGGUUCGCUCACAUUUUGCACAUAUGUUUGCACAUUUGUUUUGUUAAAACAAAUGAUGAUGUCAUUCACCUAUAGCAAGAUGAAGCUCUGCUGUAUGACAAGCAGCUGCUUUUGCGUUAAAUCAUCCCUGGCAUCUCUGAAUUUACUCCUCUUGUUUCAAGACUGUUCUUUUUUCAGAUCCAUACCUGCAGCAUUUCAUUCAUGAAUUUAACCUCUCCAGUGCAAAGAAGAGGCUGAAUUUCAUUCUCCUUGCCUGAACUUCCAUGAAAGAAAUUAUGGUGUUUCAAAUAAAAGAUGUACACUUCUAUGUGCUCAGCACUUGCUGAGAUGGUGGGGCCUGCACCCAGACCUUAUGGGUCUUUCCAGUCAUCCUCAUCAUGUCUCAGCCCAGGAGAAUUUAAAAUUUAAACAAUCCCAAAGCAAAAAGCUUCUUCCCCACCAUAACUAGGUAGGUACAUACGUCCGGACACACUAAUCACAGA
Long non-coding RNA from Falco peregrinus (peregrine falcon), 5054 nucleotides. RefSeq lists it as uncharacterized. The transcript is spliced from 4 exons. The record is from RefSeq and is a predicted model, not a curated record. NCBI's taxonomy places the organism in Eukaryota, Metazoa, Chordata, Aves, Falconiformes, Falconidae.